CUACCAAAGAAUGGAUGCAAUUUUGCUACAAUCGGGUGGGGGUCUGGCAACUCUGGUUGGUUGCACUUGUUCAGGAAAGCGCACAAGUGCUCUCUGAAAGCACCUUGUACUUGCGUCAUUACCGGUAGAAAUUGCAUCAUCAGCAUCUUCAUGUGCAUGGAGCAGUUGCAUUGGCUCUAGUGAGAUGUGGCUACUGAGGAGUCUUUUCCUUAGAAAUGAUUUUAUUCUCCUCCUUUGACAAUCUGAUAUUAUAAUGGAGCAG
This 262-nucleotide long non-coding RNA is filed under the name Actinidia chinensis (golden kiwifruit). Its description in RNAcentral is "long non-coding RNA (ACHI_LNC004722)". Lineage: Eukaryota; Viridiplantae; Streptophyta; Magnoliopsida; Ericales; Actinidiaceae. The record is from RNAcentral.